This is a long non-coding RNA of Acanthochromis polyacanthus (spiny chromis), 17264 nucleotides long. RefSeq lists it as uncharacterized. The transcript has 5 exons. The record is from RefSeq and is a predicted model, not a curated record. Lineage: Eukaryota; Metazoa; Chordata; Actinopteri; Pomacentridae.
AAUGCCACAGAAAUCCUUCUGUGAAGCACCACCUGCUGUCAUGGUUUGAUCUGAGCAUUUGCUCCCCAGACAUGUGUUGUUUAAUGAUGUAAUUUGUAUGUCGUUAUGUUUCAGGGUUGUGUUAAUGGUACUGAAGGUUGUUGUUUUGAAAAUUAACACAUUUUUUUCCUGAUAAACUGUCUCCCUCUGUAGCUCUGAGACGGACUGCUGCCCUGUCCAGGGCGAACCCUCGCCCUGAGUCAGCUGAGAUAGGCUCCAGCCUCCCACGAUCCAACAGAGGAUUGAGUGGUUUAUAGAUUAUGCAUAGAUGGAUGGAAUUCUUAAUUAUUUUAAGAAAAAUGCACAAGUUUUUGAUGACUAUUAAAUAGGUUUGAAUAGUAAAACAUGGAAUGCAUUGCUAUUAUAUUUGGAUUGGAUUUAGUAAUGUAACAGAUUUGUGGAAUAUCUUUUUAAUUUUAAUCUAAUACAUCUAAUGUAUACAUUUUUUUUGACAAACCUUUUGUGCUUGAAAUGAAAUGACAAAUUUCCUCCAAUUUCUCCCUUUCUUCCUCUCUCAACUCUAACCAGCGAAAGCGGGACAGCAGCCCAGCAGCCCCCCAGGAGCCUCCAGCCAAGCGGCCCUGCACCACCUCUGGCUCUCAGCGUGGAGGCGAGGAACCAUCCCGGCCGGAGGUACACGCUGCCCAGCCACAAAGGAGCACCAGCCCCCAGCCGUCCACCUCUGGCUCACUGUAUUACCCUCCAGACCCUCAGAUAAGUUUCAUCCCCCUACCGGACACCUCAGAAUCAGAUUCAGACUAUUCUUCCGAUUCUGAUGUAGAGGGAUAUGUGGACACUGACUCUGACUCUGAUUUCCAGGACGAGAGGAGCUCCAGCCCCUCGAUGUCCAACUCUGGUGUGCAGGUGUACCAGCAAGCGAGGACGUCCCAGCAAGCCUCCGCCCCGGGGGAGGAACCUCCAGGCCAGCCAGGGACGCGCUCCGGACCUGAGCCACCCCCCCCUGGUGUGCAGGAUGACAGCCCGCUGGUGGAGCCGAUCCGUCUGUUAGGUGUUCGGGUCGAGGAGACAGGAACCCUGCCCAUCGUGCACGUCCCGUCUCGAUUUUCACCCGCCCAGGCUGCUGAGGUAUUGUUCUUGGUCCGGAUGCUUUGGACUACUUCUCCUUUUAGACCUGAGAUGUAGCCUUCCUUUCAGUGUCUAGCUGGUCAGGCAUAGUGCACUUAGUGGCAUAUUCCAUCGCCACACACCUUUUACUUUUAGUUUAUAGCACUUUCUUCCACUCUUUAUUAGAAAUUGCAUGUAGAAGUUGUAAUGAUAAGUUUAGAAUCUUUCAUGUUAAGGAUAGCUCUUACUUUUCCUCCUUUGAAAAAACAAAAAAGACCAAAAAAAAUCUUUACACUGUAGAAACUGUAAUGUUAAGGUUAGGACUCUGUAAGUUAAGGAUUUCUGAAUCUUUCUGCACAGCUCUUUCUUUUCCUGCUUUAAAAAACAAAAAAAAAACACCAAAAAAAACUUUACUCUGUAGAAACAAGAAUGUUAAGGUUAGGACUCUGUAAGUUAAGGAUUUCUGAAUCUUUCUGCACAGCUCUUCAUUUUCCUCCUUUUAAAAACAAAAAAAGACCAAAAAAAACUUUACUCUGCAGAAACACUAAUGAUAAGGUUAGGACUCUGUAAGUUAAGGAUUUCUAAAUCUUUCUGUGCCGCUCUUUCUUUUCCUGCUUUUAAAACAAACAGUUUGAAAGUUUGAAAACAGAUGGAAAGAGCUUGAAGAGGGUCUUCAGAAAUGUUCCAUUCAAAUCCAUUUAAGCUGUGUUUAGUUUUAUUAUAUUGACUGAAGCACAGAAGGAGAAAUCCUUCCAUAAUCCUCAUUUCUAAUAUCAAUUUUACUGUUUCCAUCUCCAUUUACGAUGUGAUGAGAAAUUAAAUUUAAAAAUAAGAAUUCAUAGAGCACUUUAUAUUGUUACUGUUAUGUUUGCAUGGAACAUUUCAAAAGGGUCAGGGUUCUUCUGCUGCUCCACUGAACAUCUAACAUGAUGGAUUGAUUGCUUUUUCCAUGUGUGUGGCUACACCUGUAGCACAUUCAGGGAUGGUUGUGUUUUUAGUUUCCGGACCCAGCACAGCUCUAGAAAAUUUGAAGUUGUUCACUAAAAUAUCUGUUUGAUGCAAACAGUCAUUUCCCCUAUUUAUGAGCCAUUUCUUUGUAAAAUGUACUUGUAAACCUUGUGCAAAAACAAUCUGCAAAUGUUUGAGGUUCAGUGCAGCAGCAGAGACAGGGUAGGGUGGACCCUCUUCAAGCCCUUUAUAUCUGAGGAGAUUGUAAAAGCAGGAUAGACUUUAGGAGGGUCUUCAGGAAUGCUCCAUCCAAAUAAUUUUUCAUUGUUAGUAUCGUAUUUCUUCAAAUGACAUUUAGAAUAUUUGAUUGAUUUUUAACAUGUAAACAAUGAGAGUCAUAUUUUUGUGGAGCAUUUCCAAAGGGUCGAGGUUAGGGAGGGUCAGACCCUCCUAAAGUCUUUAUCCUCUUUUACAAAUGUUUCUGUUUGAUGACUUUAUUGUUUAUAAGAAGUCUUUUCUUUAGUUGAUUUAAUUUUUGUCGCAAAAUCUUAAAAAAAAAAGUAUAAAUAUACUUUAGACAAAAACAAACAAAAAACAACAAUAACUGUUUACAAUGUUGCUCAGUAAUGAUAGUUUUAGAAUGAUUUUUUCUGUGUCUCUCUCACAAUUUAAGAAAAGAGCAUAUAUAGAAAAAAGGAGCAUACAAGCAGGAGAUGACUUUAGGAGGGUCUUCAGGAAAUGCUCCAUCCAAAUCACUUUUUCAUUGUUAUCAUUGUCAUUCUUGAAAUGACAUUUUCAACAACUAAUCUAUUUUUAACAUGUAAACAAUGAGAGUCAUAUUUGUGUGACUUGUUAUGAUUCACUGUAUUAAGUGGUGAGAUCUGGAAACUAUUUUCUGUAAUCAAAACUAAUUGUCUAAACAGUAAGAGUCAUCUUAGGAUGGAGCAUUUCCAAAGGGUUGAGGUUAGGGAGGGUCAGACCCUCCUAAAGUCUUUAUCCUCUGUUACUCCUGUUACUGUUACUGAGUGAUCUACAGAAAAUUACAAACAAGUGGUCAGUUUAAAUAAUUUCUGUAAACAUUUGUAGACACUUUUACUCUGUAGAAACACGAAUGAUAAGGUUAGGACUCUGUAAGUUAAGGAUUUCUAAAUCUUUCUGUGCAGCUUUUUCUUUUCCUGCUUUCAAAACAAACAGUUUGAAAGUUUGAAAACAGAUGGAAAGAGCUUGAAGAGGGUCUUCAGAAAUGUUCCAUUCAAAACCAUUUAAAGCUGUGUUUAGUUGUAUUACAUUGACUGAAGCACAGAAGGAGAAAUUCUUCCAUAAUCCUCAUUUCGAAUAUUAAUUUUACUGUUUCCAUCUCCGUUUAUGAUGUGAUGAGAAAUUAAAUUUAAAAAUAAGAAUUCAUAGACUACUUUAUAUUGUUACUGUUAUGUUUGCAUGGAACAUUUCAAAAGGGUCAGGGUUCUUCUGCUGCUCCACUGAACAUCUAACAUGAUGGAUUGAUUGCUUUCUCCAUGUGUGUGGCUACACCUGUAGCACAUUCAGGGAUGGUUGUGUUUUUAGUUUCCGGACCCAGCACAGCUCUAGAAAAUUUGAAGUUGUUCACUAAAAUAUCUGUUUGAUGCAAACAGUCAUUUCCCCUAUUUAUGAGCCAUUUCUUUGUAAAAUGUACUUGCAAACCUUGUGCAAAAACAAUCUGCAAAUGUUUGAGGUUCAGUGCAGCAGCAGAGACAGGGUAGGGUGGACCCUCUUCAAGCCCUUUAUAUCUGAGGAGAUUGUAAAAGCAGGAUAGAUUUUGGGAGGGUCUUCAGGAAAUGCUCCAUCCAAAUAAUUUUUCAUUGUUAGUAUCGUAUUUCUUCAAAUGACAUUUAGAAUAUUUGAUUGAUAUUUAACAUGUAAACAAUGAGAGUCAUAUUAGCAUGGAGCAUUUCCAAAGGGUCGAGGUUUGGGAGGGUCAGACCCUCCUAAAGUCUUUAUCCUCUUUUACAAAUGUUUCUGUUUGAUGACUUUAUUGUUUAUAAUAAGUCUUUUCUUUAGUUGAUUUAAUUUUUGUCGCGAAAUCUUCAAAGAAAAAAACGUCUAAAUAUACUUUAGACAAAAACAAACAAAAAAACAACAAUAACUGUUUACAAUGUUGCUCAGUAAUGAUAGUUUCAGAAUGAUUUUUCUGUGUCUCUCUCACAAUUUAAGAAAAGAGCAUAUAUAGAAAACAGGAGCAUACAAGCAGGAGAUGACUUUAGGAGGGUCUUCAGGAAAUGCUCCAUCCAAAUCACUUUUUCAUUGUUAUUAUUGUCAUUCUUGAAAUGACAUUUUCAACAACUAAUCUGUUUUUAACAUAUAAACAAUGAGAGUCAUCUUAGGAUGGAGCAUUUCCAAAGGGUCGAGGUUAGGGAGGGUCAGACCCUCCUAAAGUCUUUAUCCUCUGUUACUCCUGUUACUGUUACUGAGUGAUCUACAGAAAAUUACAAACAAGUGCUCAGUUUAAAUAAUUUCUUUAAACAUUUGUAGACACUGAGGAAAAUUCAUCCAGAUACUAGAAAAUAGAGCAAAGUUUAAAAUGUUCCGAGGUAACUGUAACAAAUUUUUCUGUGACUAUUCAGCAAAGGAAUUAAAAUACAUAUCUGAAGAGAUUGUAAAAGCAGGACAGACUUUAGGAGGGUCUUCAGGAAAUGCUCCAUCCAAAUAAUUUUUCAUUGUUAGUAUCGUAUUUCUUCAAAUGACAUUUACAAUAUUUGAUUGAUUUUUAACAUGUAAACAAUGAGAGUCAUAUUAGCAUGGAGCAUUUCCAAAGAGUCGAGGUUAGGGAGGGUCAGACCCUCCUAAAGUCUUUAUCCUCUUUUACAAAUGUUUCUGUUUGAUGACAUUAUUGUUCAUAAUAAGUCUUUUCUUUAGUUGAUGUAAUGUUUGUCGCGAAAUCUUCAAAGAAAAAAAACGUAUACGGUAAAUAUACUUUAGACAAAAACAAACAAAAAAAACAACAAUGACUGUUUACAAUGUUGCUCAGUAAUGAUAGUUUGAGAAUGAUUUUUUUCUGUGCCUCUUUCACAAUUUAACUAACAAACAUUUAGAUAACAGGAGUAUAAAAGCAGGAGAUGACUUUAGGAGGGUCUUCAGGAAAUGCUCCAUCCAAAUCACUUUUUCAUUGUUGUUAUUGUCAUUCUUGAAAUGACAUUUUCAACAACUAAUCUAUUUUUAACAUGUAAACAAUGAGAGUCAUAUUUGUGUGACUUGGUAUGAUUCACUGUAUUAAGUGGUGAGAUCUGGAAACUAUUUUCUGAAAUGAAAACUAAUUGUCUAAACAGUAAGAGUCAUCUUAGGAUGGAGCAUUUCCAAAGGGUUGAGGUUAGGGAGGGUCAGACCCUCCUAAAGUCUUUAUCCUCUGUUACUCCUGUUACUGUUACUGAGUGAUCUACAGAAAAUUACAAACAAGUGUUCAGUUUAAAUAAUUUCUGUAAACAUUUGUAGACACUCUUACUCUGUAGAAACACGAAUGAUAAGGUUAGGACUCUGUAAGUUAAGGAUUUCUAAAUCUUUCUGUGCAGCUCUUUCUUUUCCUGCUUUCAAAACAAACAGUUUGAAAGUUUGAAAACAGAUGGAAAGAGCUUGAAGAGGGUUUUCAGAAAUGUUCCAUUCAAAUCCGUUUAAAGCUGUGUUUAGUUGUAUUACAUUGACUGAAGCACAGAAGGAGAAAUUCUUCCAUAAUCCUCAUUUCGAAUAUUAAUUUUACUGUUUCCAUCUCCGUUUACGAUGUGAUGAGAAAUUAAAUUUAAAAAUAAGAAUUCAUAGAGCACUUUAUAUUGUUACUGUUAUGUUUGCAUGGAACAUUUCAAAAGGGUCAGGGUUCUUCUGCUGCUCCACUGAACAUCUAACAUGAUGGAUUGAUUGCUUUUUCCAUGUGUGUGGCUACACCUGUAGCACAUUCAGGGAUGGUUGUGUUUUUAGUUUCCGGACCCAGCACAGCUCUAGAAAAUUUGAAGUUGUUCACUAAAAUAUCUGUUUGAUGCAAACAGUCAUUUCCCCUAUUUAUGAGCCAUUUCUUUGUAAAAUGUACUUGUAAACCUUGUGCAAAAAAAAAAAAAAUCUGCAAAUGUUUGAGGUUCGGUGCAGCAGCAGAGACAGGGUAGGGUGGACCCUCUUCAAGCCCUUUAUAUCUGAGGAGAUUGUAAAAGCAGGAUCGAUUUUAGGAGGGUCUUCAAGAAAUGCUCCAUCCAAAUAAUUUUUCAUUGUUAGUAUCAUAUGUCUUCAAAUGACAUUUACAAGAUUUGAUUGAUUUUUAACAUGUAAACAAUGAGAGUCAUAUUAGGAUGGAGCAUUUCCAAAGGGUCGAGGUUAGGGAGGGUCAGACCCUCCUAAAGUCUUUAUCCUCUUUUACAAAUGUUUCUGUUUGAUGACUUUAUUGUUUAUAAUAAGUCUUUUCUUUAGUUGAUUUAAUUUUUAUCGCGAAAUCUUCAUAGAAAAAAAACGUAUAAAUAUACUUUAGACAAAAACAAACAAAAAACAACAAUAACUGUUUACAAUGUUGCUCAGUAAUGAUAGUUUCAGAAUGAUUUUUCUGUGUCUCUCUCACAAUUUAAGAAAAGAGCAUAUAUAGAAAACUAUAGAUUACUUGCGUAACCCCGGUUCUCAGAGUAGCAUGAGUGAGAUGUCUCACUAUGGGAUACGCCCCCUGCGUAUGCCUCAGAAGCACUUAUCUCAUUACGCCAAUCUUGAUUGGCUGGUGAUCGCGACGUCUGCAUCAGGUGGAGCCACCUACCCUUAAGUAGCCUGCGCUGCCACGCAGCAUCACUCAAAAUAAGCACCUCUUCUCGCUUCGCCCAGCAAGAAGGGCUAUCUGGUGAGACAUCUCACUCAUGCUACUCUGAGAUCCGGGGUUACGCAAGUUACCUGUAGUUCUCAUUCCUAGCAUUCGUUUCGAUGUAUCACUAUGGGAUAUGGAAACUCCCGUAUUGCCAGACAUGCUUAUCUCAAGUCAACCACCAGCACUCUGGGAACGGCCCUCUGCUCUAAGCUGGUCAAGUACUCAGUACUGCAUGAGCCAAGCUCAGAGCAGAGAUGUCCAGCUUAUAAAAGUGGACAAAAGUGAGAGGUGAAGACCAGCUUGCUGCUGCACAAAUCUCCUGAAUUGAGACCCCUUUAUAAAGGGCCCAGGAUGCAGCCAGGCCACGUGUAGAAUGAGCCCACAGGCCCACAGGAGCCUGCAGGCCCUGAGACGUGUAGGCCAGGGCAAUUGCUUCCACAAUCCAGUGGGAGAGCUGCUGCUUUGUGAUGGGUCUGCCCCUGUAGGGGCUAGCCCAGGACACAAAGAGCUGGUCACUCCUCCGAAAACCCUUUGUCCUGUCCAUAUAAAUCCGCAAGGCACGGACUGGACACAGCAUGUGCAACCGCUGUUCUUCAGGAGAAGAAAAUGGCGGUGGAGAAAAUGCUGUAAGAACAAUGGGACUGCAUGAGCCAUCCACCUUGGGCACAAAAGCAAGGUGGGGCUUCAGUGACACCCUGGCAUGCCCAGGAGCAAACUGAGUGCACGAGGAGUGCACUGAGAGUGCAUGAAUGUCACUCAUACGCUUGGCAGAGGCCAACGCCAGCAGCAGCCCUGUCUUCAGAGACAGGUGCUUCAGGCUAGCCUCCUCCAGUGGUUCAAAUGGAGCCCCGGAGAGCCCAUUCAAGACCACUGCCAAGUCCCAUGGGGGGGCCAGCGACCUGGAAACAGGAAGCAGCCUGCGUGCCCCUUUCAUAAAACGGCAGACGAAAGGAUGUUGGCUAGCCGUCUUUCCUUCAAAUCCCACAUGCCAUGCUGCAAUAGCAGCCAGAUACACCUUAAUUGUGGAGAAAGCUUUUUGUCUAUCAAGCUCUGCAGGAAAGACAAAAUUACACUAGCAGUGCACUGAAAGGAGAUGUGUCCUCUCUUCUGACACCACUCCUCAAACACCCUCCACUUACAGUCAUAAAGAGACCUGGUGGAGGAUGCUCUAGCGCUCUGAAUAGUGUUAAUCACACUCUGCGGGAGCCCUGUAGUAUUUAGAUUACACCACUCACGGGCCAGGCCCAUAGGGCCAGGCGUUCGGGGUGUGGGUGAAAUACUGCUCCCCCUGCCUGGGACAGCAUAUCCCUGCACAGGGGAAUCUGCCAUGGCUGUCCCGACAGGAACUGAUAUAUCUCCGCCAGCCAGUGCAUGGCCGACCAGUGCGGAGCUAUCAGAAUUAGUGUGUGGCGAUGCUCUCUGACUCUGUCCAGAGUCGGAGGUAUCAGAGCCAAUGGGGGAAAAGCGUACAGGAGGACCGGCAGCCAGACGUGCGCAAGCACGUUCACGCCGAGCAGUGCACCUGGAUCGCGUAUUGAGAAAAACAGCGGACACUGUGCGUUUUCUCUCGACGCAAACAGAUCCACCGCAGCUCUGCCGAAGCGGGCCCACACCUGCUCUACGAUGGCUGGAUGUUGUGUCCAUUCCCCGUAGAGCGGCUCGCCUCUGGACAGCAGAUCUGCCCCCCGGUUCAGAGCCACCAGGACAUGGGUGGCUCUCAGAGACAGAAGACGCUUGCUGCUCCAGAGGGUCAGUCUGCGUGCCAGCAUGUCUAAUUGCCUGGAGCGCAGACCCCCCUGACUGUUGAUAUAUGCCACCGUCAUUGUAUUGUCCGUUCUCACCAGGACAUGAUGUCCACUGAGAAACGGAAGAAAGCGUCUCAGCGCGAGAAACACCGCUAAGAGCUCCAAAUAGUUUAUGUGAGAGCGCUGGAGAUCUUUGCUCCAGAUGCUCCUCACACAUUGGCCCUCGAAUAUACCGCCCCAGCCGGACAUGCUCGUGUCUGUAGUGACCACUUUCCGGGACAGAACGGGGCCCAUAGGCACCCCCUUCACCAGGAAAGCCGGGUGGUGCCAGCGGCACAGUGCCAUUACGCAUGGCGCGCUGACCGUCACCCUCCGUGCGCCAUGACGCACAGGGUCCAGCCUGAGGGAGGACACCCAUCGCUGGAAUUCCCUCAUGUAUAGGCAACCCAGCCGGACUACAAGGAUGGCUGAGGCCAUCAGCCCCAGUAGUCGGAGGCAUAAUCUGAAAGGAACCCGACUGUGUAGGGUGAAGCGUGAGAGGCAGGCUCUGAAAGCUGGAUUGUGAGGGCAUGGAGAAGCUUGGCAUUCUCCGCAUGCCCCCCAUGGAGCCGUUAGUCGCCGCGCACCUGCACCCGCGACUGACUACCUCCUCCAGGAACCCCACACUGCCUACACUACGCAUAUUGCUCUCUUUAACAACAGCGAGUGAAUUUCCUCCUGAAGAACACGAGCUGACUCUCCGCGCACCUGAGAAUGCACUAUACCUGAGAAGCGAGGGGGAACAGCGGCAAACUGAAGCCUGUAACCCCGUGAGAUCGUUCUCAGAACCCAGGCUGAGCUUGUGAUCGCGGCCCAUCUCUCUGUCAUCAGAGAGAGAGAUGUGACAGCCUCUGACACACCGCCUGUCACCGGAGCCUCCAAUAACGGUGUUAUGGGGCCCUCUAGUGGUGGGAUAUGGCCAUGACACUUGGGCAUCACUGCGCAUGCGCCGGGUGUUAGUGCAUUGGCAGAUUCGGUACCCCUCCGGGCCCGGAGCUGGGAUGUAGUCCGCUCCGGACCCGGAACCGGCACCGAACCGCUUAUUGUGUUCUCGUUUGUUAAUUGUGACUGCGCCCUUGACCAGAGGUCUGGAUGCGGCAGUGAACACCUUUAUAUUAAACAGGACCAAUGGUGUGUGCUUGUGUGACUUAGAUGAGGGACAGAGCCUGCUGGCCCCACAACGAAGUCUCUUUCCCCCUCCGCUGGGAUGCGUUGUUGCCACACUGGCAGCGCACGCAGCGGCGGGGACUCGUGGGCUCGGGAAACCCGGAGUAGCACACUGUGGAAGGGAACCGAUGGGGCUGGUGAACGGGAACAGGCAGCACCGGUGGGAAGAGGGGAGGCCGUGAGGCCGCCCUCUUCUUCUUCCUGGCCUGCUGACUGGUAGUCUGCGCGGUCUGUACCGGCGGAGCUGCCGUCAUUGCGGGGGCCUUUCUGGGCCAGCCGGUCCUCUCCUCCUGUCUGCUUGGAGCAUUAGGGGCAGGACGGGCUUCAGGUCGUGUCAAGAUUUUAAACUGAGAGAUCGGAGGCUGUGCCGCAGCCGAUGCGAAGCUCUGUCGCGGGGUUGGGACCGGUGUGGGCUCGACUUUGCGAGGGAGGCAAAGCUGGAGAGCUUCGUCCUCCUUCUUCUUCGCCUCACAGCGCUGCUGCAUUGAGGCGAGAGCGGAGCCAAAUAUGCCGUCUGGAAAUGACAUGUCCAAAAUGUCCUCCUUCUCUCUGUCAGAUAGGUUGGUCAGGUUGAGCCAUCUGGCUCUUUCCUGCAACACCAUCAUUCCCAGAGAUUUUCCCGUGGCUUGGACCGCACAGCGCUGUACGCGGAGGCAGAUAUCCGUUAUCAUGGUCAUCUCGUCCCACACCGCUGGGUCAGUCUUGGUCGUCAUAUCUUCACAUAGCUCGGCUUGGUAUGCUGCGAGCAUGGAGGAGACGUUCAGUGCUCUGACAGUUAGCGCUGCAGCCCUGUAAGCUCGCUCCGUCAUGGCGGACUGGAAGUGGUCUGCUUUGGACGGCAGUGUGGGGUUCCUGGAGGAGGUAGUCAGUCGCGGGUGCAGGUGCGCGGCGACUAACGGCUCCAUGGGGGGCAUGCGGAGAAUGCCAAGCUUCUCCAUGCCCUCACAAUCCAGGGAGGAAGCUCCGUGUAUCGGGCUUUUGCUGGUGAAUGGGUGAUCCUUCCAUGAGGAGGACACCUCGUCGAGCAGCUCAGGGAAGACAGGGAGUAACUGUUUUGCCGCGCUCGUAGCCUGGGGGAAUUUCUUCCCUUCAUAACGGGAUCUGGUGGUCUCCGUUAUCACAGCAGGCCAAGGGAUGUUCAGCCGGGAUGCAGCGCGUUUGCACACGGACUGCAUAUCCAUGCUGAUGGAGGGGGAAGCGGCCGCUUCCCCUCCUCGUCCCUGAGGGCAGCUACAGCGCCUGGUGUGGCAAACUGAGCAGAGGGGAUGAGGACGUCGUCCUCACUCUCAUCCUCCUCGGAUAUGAGGAGCUCCGAGGUAGCCUCGUCGUCAUCCUCGUAAUCCAACUCCAGUACGUCUUCCAUAAGCGGGGCCGGAGCGGCGAGGUCUAGCUGGGAGCCCCAGCUAGCGCUAGCGCGCGGUCCGGUGUCUGCGGCCGUCCCGUCCUUGGUCUCGCCGGUGACUGGUGGGUCACCCAGGGACAAGAAGGGGUCCUGGACAGACAAGCUAGCUUGGCGUGCUAGGCGUCGUCGGAGACUCUUCAUGGUGAAGCGGGAGCAGUGCACGCAUGAACUGGGGGCUUCAAUAGCCUGUUGGGCGUGUUGCAGCCCGAGGCAAAACGAGCAGACCUGGUGUGAGUCACGGCUCGAUAUUUUAUUGCCACAGGCACAGAGCCGAGCCCCGGAGUCUCCAUUUCCUCUGGUGUGAGGCGCAUGGGCAUCCAUCCUGAUUAGCUGGAUUGCUGAACAGGAGACGCCGUGAAUUAGCUGGUAUGCUAAUUAAUGAAGAACGAUUUUAGCUGGUGUGCUAUUUCACCGAAACGGUGUUAGCUGGUUUGCUAAACCAUGUAAAUGCCUUACCUUGGUGUGGUCGGGCUGUUGACUCUCCAAGCUGGAGGGUCGUAAAUUUGGCAGCUAGCGUUCGGUGACGGAGCAAUAGCCGAGUUAGCUCCAGUCUAUGAACAGUUAAGCUAGCUAGCGCUUAACUUGAGAUAUGCUACACGAAGCGAGAAGAGGUGUUUGAGUGAUGCUGCGUGGUAGUGCAGGCUACUUAAGGGUUGGGGGCUCCACCUGACGCAGGCAUCGCGAUCACCAGCCAAUCAGGAUUGGCGUAAUGAGAUAAGUGCUUCUGAGGCAUACGCAGGGGGCGUAUCCCAUAGUGAGACAUCGAAACGAAUGCUAGGAAUGAGAACAGGAGUAUUCACCUUAUUCAGCUCCGCCCAUUUUUCAACGGGUGGGACUUCCUGUUUUGAGUAGCACUUCCGGUAACUCGGUCAGGGCGAUGUUUACAACUGAGAAAGUGAUGUGGGAAGAAACGAAAACCUCUUUAAAAAACAGAAAUGGAUCGAGUCUGCCUCAUCCGCGACUUAUUACAGAGUGGGAGGAUGACAUGAAAAAGUGGCCACAAGUCAUGUAUGGCAAUAUUUUUAACUAUUUCGUGUUGUCUUUUUGCGUUGAUCGCUCAGCUAUGAGGAAUUAUAAGAGCACUGAAGCCUAUCAAUAUUUGCACAGUGGUAAAGUCGGCGCUGUUCUGUUACAUCAAGAACGGGAAUAUACGUUUCUUAAAGCUAAUGUCAGCCCGAGUCAGGCUAGUACCUCCUCACACAUGGUGGGUGUUGGUGACAGCUGAUGAAGCGGUGGAGACCACGGGAUGCUCCUGUAUCGCUGGGUUGGGACGGUCCUGCAGUCAUGCUGCUGCGAUAUUAUGGAAGGUAUGUUGAUUUGAAUAAAACUUUAUUUGAUUCAUGUAUAUAUGAUGUGGUUGUGCAAACGGAGGUUGGUAUUGUCAUUUCUGAAACAGCUCCUGCGGUUUACUGUGUUAUUAGCCCUGUCACAAGCUAAUGCUAAUUCCCUGGAGCAACAAAAAACUGAUUCUGACCAAACCGCAGUCAUAACAACGUUUCAAAAUAGCAGAGAGUAUCUUUUUACCUCACUGAUGGCAUAGCUAGGUCUUUAGUGGAAACUGAACUUUGGUAGAAUCGCUGUAGCUGUGCUGACAGUGACCGAUGCAAGCUGUGUGUUUACAUAGCCAUGAGCUGGUCCGCAGCAUUCAGAUCUAACCCUUCCAUGCUCUAAACAAUUCUGAGAGAGAGAAAGCUUCAUCUUUCCCCAGUUGUUGUGGCACCCACGGACAGCGCAACUGAUGCCAAACAUGUUAAAAUCACUUAAAAGAACAGUUAAAAGUAGCUACAGUAGCGAGAGGACUCGAUGUUGUUGUAGUGCGAAGACGGUCAACCGGAAGUCGAUCUCAAAAAUGGCGCCGCCCUGCCUCACUUCCUGAAUAAGGUGAAUAGAGCUCCGGGAGAUGACGUCACACAAUCCCGGCAUGCAACAGUCGAAAUCAAAACACCGCCAUAUUGGCAGGAAGGCGCGCUGUUUAAACUACUGCCAGCUAACUCCGAAACGUUCUUCAGCGUCGAUAUCAGAGAGUCCACCAUAUGGUGGACAGUUGUUGCGCCCCGGGAUGCCAGAACAGCCGAGGACGAGCAAAGGGGAGAGCAUUUUAUCGGAUUCCCAAAGAUCCUGAAAGACGAAAGAGGUGGAUCACUGCCAUAAAAUGCGCAAGAAGCGAGCAGAAGAAAACGGAGCGGUGGGAACCCACAGGCAACGGAUUCCGCUUAUGUAGUGACCACUUUGUAUCAGGUACAGAAUCCGUUUCCUAAGCUUUAUAUCUGAUCGGGUAAUUUCUCUUACCCCUCAAGGCUUUUAUACGCUGUUCCGCUUCAGUUGCGCUUCAGUGUCCCGCCCGCGGUACACUUUGAGAUCUGCAUAAGCAAUUUGCUAAAUGUCUGAAACGCGAUUAUACAAACACUAUACGCCGAUGGAAAGCUUAGAUUCUCAUGAAUCUGCCGGUAUAAACCACUUUCAGAUGUGAUUACCACAGCGGGUAAUAUGAACACAUUUGUCCGACAAACAACGAAUAUCCAUCCAUCCGUUCUCUAUACACGGCUUCAACGUACACAGCGCGACUCACAUUUCCGGGUUCAUUAUUACACACAGAUGAAAAUAUUCCACAAAAAACGGCCAUAAUCCAACCUUGGACAUCCAGACGAAACAAGCCAGUAAAAUAUUUUUUCCAAAACAUGUCUUGAAGUCGGCAUAUUAUCCACGAAUACGUCGUUUUCAAGGAAAUGCACCUCGCGAUGCGCGUCCAAUAUUCCCUGUAUUUCUCGUCAUAUUUUUAUUUACAAAUAGAAUAUUAGCGAUUUUUUUGUACUGAAAAUGGCUGGAAUUGACUGCAGCUUAAAGGGUUAAGAGAUUCACCGGAGUAGGAUGAAGGAAAAUUUAUCAGGUAAUUGUAGAUGUCAGGGUACCGCAGGUCCGGUAAAAGGUCCGCUCCGACCGUCUCAAGAUUCUUAAAUAAGAUACCGGGGGCAUGAUAUGGAUCGGAUAUGUUUAGUUUGUCCCGUUUGUUUGUAUAUUUUAUAAUGUCGUCUGAUUUAAAAUGAAAAGUAAACUCAGACGGCGUAAAUUUUCUACCAGCACCAUUCAUUUUGAAGCGGAGUUUCCUGCCAACAUGGCGGCGUAAACAAACAGAGUCACAUGACGUCCGGAGCUCCAUACAAGCAGGAGAUGACUUUAGGAGGGUCUUCAGGAAAUGCUCCAUCCAAAUCACUUUUUCAUUGUUAUUAUUGUCAUUCUUGAAAUGACAUUUUCAACAACUAAUCUAUUUUUAACAUGUAAACAAUGAGAGUCAUCUUAGGAUGGAGCAUUUCCAAAGGGUCGAGGUUAGGGAGGGUCAGACGCUCCUAAAGUCUUUAUCCUCUGUUACUCCUGUUACUGUUACUGAGUGAUCUACAGAAAAUUACAAACAAGUGGUCAGUUUAAAUAAUUUCUGUAAACAUUUGUAGACACUUUUACUCUGUAGAAACACGAAUGGUAAGGUUAGGACUCUGUAAGUUAAGGAUUUCUAAAUCUUUCUGUGCAGCUCUUUCUUUUCCUGCUUUCAAAACAAACAGUUUGAAAGUUUGAAAACAGAUGGAAAGAGCUUGAUGAGGGUCUUCAGAAAUGUUCCAUUCAAAUCCAUUUAAAGCUGUGUUUAGUUUUAUUAUACUGACUGAAGCACAGAAGGAGAAAUUCUUCCAUAAUCCUCAUUUCGAAUAUUAAUUUUACUGCUUCCAUCUCCAUUUGCGAUGUGAUGAGAAAUUAAAUUUAAAAAUAAGAAUUCAUAGACCACUUUAUAUUGUUACUGUUAUGUUUGCAUGGAACAUUUCAAAAGGGUCAGGGUUCUUCUGCUGCUCCACUGAACAUCUAACAUGAUGGAUUGAUUGCUUUCUCCAUGUGUGUGGCUACACCUGUAGCACAUUCAGGGAUGGUUGUAUUUUUAGUUUCCGGACCCAGCACAGCUCUAGAAAAUUUGAAGUUGUUCACUAAAAUAUCUGUUUGAUGCAAACAGUCAUUUCCCCUAUUUAUGAGCCAUUUCUUUGUAAAAUGUACUUGCAAACCUUGUGCAAAAACAAUCUGCAAAUGUUUGAGGUUCAGUGCAGCAGCAGAGACAGGGUAGGGUGGACCCUCUUCAAGCCCUUUAUAUCUGAGGAGAUUGGAAAGCAGGACAGACUUUAGGAGGGUCUUCAGGAAAUGCUCUUUCCAAAUCCCUUUUCAUUGUUAAUAUUGUCAUUCUUGAAAUGACAUUUUAAACAACUAAUCUAUUUUUAACAUGUAAACAAUGAGAGUCAUAUUUUUGUGACUUAUGGUUCACUGUAUUAACUGGUGAGAUCUGGAAACUAUUUUCUGAAAUGAAAACUAAUUGUCUAAACAGUAAGAGUCAUCUUAGAAUGGAGUAUUUCCAAAGGGUUGAGGUUAGGGAGGGUCAGACCCUCCUAAAGUCUCUAUGCUCUUUUACAAAUGUUAUUACUAGAUUUCAUCAAUGUUAAUGAUGAUUCUUUCUGAUGUUUUAACAUCUAUAAAGAAAAAAAUACAGAAAAAUUGACAAAUGGUGAGGAUUUCCUGUUAUGUUUCCUGUUUUGGGUUUGGUUUGGUUCGGUCCGUCUCUCGUUUUUCUCUUCUCUCUGGUUUCCUUUCAGUGUGAUGCUGAAGACGUGGCUCGUCUCCCUGCAGCUCAUUCCAGAUCAUCAGCUCCUCCAUAAAACCUGGACUUUUCUCUUCUCGUCCCAGAUUGUUCUGCGCGUUUGAUACUACCUGCUGCUACCUCAGUCCUCCAGAGCUCCAGUGUUUCCUGCGCUCGACCUUCAGCUCUACCUCCAUCACUCCAGCCGUCCACCCCCAAACCAGCCAGUCGUCAACCUCCACUUAACUUUCUAAGACUUUUGUUCAAAUAAAUCACUCUUUUUACAUUACACCCCUCCAUGUUCUCAUGCCCACCUUAACUAAUGUACAUAUUUUGAUAACAGGACUGUUGAAGCAAGAGAUGGAGGAGAAGUGCCCAACUGAAAUGAUGUUUUUAUUGUUAAGUGCGUCAGUGCAAAGCAUUGAAACACACUGAUUAGACUGAUUACUGCUCCUCGGGAUUAUUCUUACGGAUUCUUCUGACACGAUUUUCAGCAGGAAUCUCGUGCCACAGCAUUGAGAAUGCUCAUACAAAUUAAAUAUCAAUUCAGUUAGGGUUUGUAAAUAUACUGGCUUUUCAAAAUAAAAUGUACUUCUGUAAAUUCCACCUUAUGUAUGAUUAUUAGCCGGACAUAUCAGCCGCAGGGUCCAAAGCGUGAGAAAAAAGUAGCGGCUUAUAGUCUGGAAAUUACGGUACUAUCUACAACUUUUAAGUUGUUUGGAAUAAAUUUAACAUACAAGUGGAUUUUAAACAGCUGAAUGUAACCAAUAAUACAAGGGUUUUCUCUAAAUUCCACACAAAAUGUUAAUUUUAAUAACUAGUACAGUUUCAAAAUUAUUCAACCCCCUAAUGACAACUUGCUGGAGCUAUGAGCCGCGGUUGACACCGCCCUGCCCACAACAAAAAAUGUUCAAAGACUUCCCAAAAAUGUUGAAAAUGUGAACAUCAGAAGUUUCACAAUAUUUUUUUUCCUGCAUUUUCAAACUUUAAAAUGGGUCAAUUUUGACCUGCAGGACAACAUGAGGGUUAAAGAAGGCUGGAUACAUCUCAACUGGAUUACUAUGAUGGUUACAUUCACGUUUCCAUGCUCCCAAAAGCAAUUUUGAAGAUGAGUAAUGAUACAGAAAACCCUCCCCAGCAAGUAGACAGAUGGAAACGCUCAGCUGUAGCUUUAACUGCAUAUUUCACUCAUCUUCUAGCAAACAUAAAAUACCGUACACAUGUUAGCCAGGAAAACUGUUGCUUUUCGCUGUAGGAAAUCUUUAAACCUCGUCCAGUGUCCAUAACUGUGAUGUCAAGAAACACGUCAGAGAAUAUAAGCUCUGCACAAGAACAUUUAUUCGACAAAAAUUGCGAAAUGAUACAAUAAAGCUUAAGUUUCCUAUAAAGACAAUAAAGCAGAGCUGGAAUUUUUUCAAACCUGCAGCCUUGUGGAUACUUGCUACAUACAUACAGGAC